GAAAACUCUAUUAAAAAGCCGCUAACUUUUUAAAAACAUUCACAGUUAGUUUUCU
This 55-nucleotide transfer RNA is filed under the name Charinus carajas. RNAcentral's name for it is "tRNA-Ser". The record is from RNAcentral. Lineage: Eukaryota; Metazoa; Arthropoda; Arachnida; Amblypygi; Charinidae.